UACGGGGGGGGCAAGCGUUGUUCGGAAUUACUGGGCGUAAAGGGUUAGUAGGUGGCUAACUAAGUCAGACGUGAAAUCCCUCAGCUUAACUGGGGAACUGCGUCUGAGACUGAUUGGCUCGAGGACAGGAGAGGAACGCGGAAUUCCAGGUGUAGCGGUGAAAUGCGUAGAUAUCUGGAGGAACACCGGUGGCGAAGGCGGGUCUCUGGGCCGAUACUGACGCUGAGGAGCGAAAGCGUGGAGAGCGAACAGG
RNAcentral lists this ribosomal RNA (253 nucleotides) under uncultured bacterium. RNAcentral describes it as "partial 16S ribosomal RNA". It matches the Rfam family "Bacterial small subunit ribosomal RNA", at positions 524 to 776 of the family's 1533-position model. The record is from RNAcentral.